This is a non-coding RNA of Coregonus clupeaformis (lake whitefish), 1055 nucleotides long. Lineage: Eukaryota; Metazoa; Chordata; Actinopteri; Salmoniformes; Salmonidae. The record is from the annotation of a RefSeq genome assembly.
UUAACACUUCAUGACUGAGAGCUGUCCUUCAUGACAACAGAACCCACAACAACCAUGACUUUUAUCACCAUCUUCUUCUGGACACUUGCUUUCUGCUUUCAAGAAUCCAGAGGACAGGUCACUGUGUCUCAGACUCCUGCAGUGGAAACUGUUCUCCCAGGACAGACAGUCUCUCUGAACUGUAAAACCAGUAUUAAUGUGUAUCAAGCAGGUUACUCUGAUGCCCGUCUAGCCUGGUAUCAACAGACACCUGGAGGAGCUCCUAAACUCCUUAUAUACCAUGCUAAAACACUUCAGUCUGGGACUCCAUCUAGAUUCAGGGGUAGUGGAUCUCAUAGUGACUUCACUCUGACCAUCAGGGGAGUCCAGGCUGAAGAUGCAGGAGAUUACUACUGUCAGAGUUUACACAACCCCAACAGUGUCUGGGUGUGGACUUUUGGUAGCGGCACCAGACUUGAUGUUGGAAGUAACAGAGCCCCCACCCUCACCGUCCUGGCCCCCUCUAGUGAGGAGCUGUCCAGUACAACAACAGCCACACUGACGUGUCUGGCCAACAAGGGCUUCCCCUCAGACUGGACCAUGAGCUGGAAAGUGGACGGGACCAACAAGAAGCAGGAGGCCAGUCCCGGGGUCCUGGAGAAGGACGGCCUGUACAGCUGGAGUAGCACCCUGACUCUCACUGCCCAGGAGUGGACCAAGGCAGGAGAGGUGACCUGUGAAGCCCAGCAGAAAUCCCAGACUCCAGUCACCAAGACCCUGAGGAGGGCUGACUGUUCUGGGUAGGACCCCUCAGUCACACAGCCCUGUGGAGAGAGGCUGCUGGUUCUUCUGCUUUGACUCUGUUCUGAGAUCAGAUGUUCUCUGUCUUAUUGAUCACUGACAUGUAGACUAACAGGGGGCUUUGCUUGAGUUCAUGUGUCAAUCCUCUCUGUAGACUGAGGUUGUAUCAGUGUUAGAUGUGAUGUGUUCUGUUUUAUUACUAUUAGAUACUGUAGGAAUGUUUGCUUUGAUGCUUUGAUUAAUGGAUGAAAAUAAAGAUUUCCCAUAAGAACAAA